This 105-nucleotide small nucleolar RNA is filed under the name Olea europaea subsp. europaea. RNAcentral describes it as "Plant small nucleolar RNA R71". It matches the Rfam family "Plant small nucleolar RNA R71". From Rfam's summary of the family: R71 is a member of the C/D box family of snoRNAs containing the C (UGAUGA) and D (CUGA) box motifs. The record is from Rfam by way of RNAcentral. Lineage: Eukaryota; Viridiplantae; Streptophyta; Magnoliopsida; Lamiales; Oleaceae.
AUCAUAUGAUUUGGGCAUUUUUUCAUCAACUCUUUAAAUCUGUUCCAUGCCUCGUGGUAGCUUCCCCAUCUCUCUAUUAAAGGUUUGAAUUUUUAGUUUGAUUUU